RNAcentral lists this long non-coding RNA (434 nucleotides) under Manihot esculenta (cassava). Its description in RNAcentral is "long non-coding RNA (MESC_LNC000278)". The record is from RNAcentral. Lineage: Eukaryota; Viridiplantae; Streptophyta; Magnoliopsida; Malpighiales; Euphorbiaceae.
CGCACCUCUUCAGAUCAAUCUUGCGCAAGAAGGAGUACCUGAAAUCCUCUCAGGCGCGUCCUUUCAGCUUUCAACACAAAUCAGUAUUCCACCUCAGUUAGGUCCUAUGCAGAAGGAGGAAACUGAAACUCCUUUCAUCCUUCCAAUGCAAACAGUCCAUGCCCAAGAGGAACAAAUGGUAGUCCAAUGGCCCAAACCAAAGGAGCAUGCAGGUCAAUGCUUGCCCAAACCUCUAGAUAAGGAAGAAUUUGUUUUGCCUGAACUUAAUGCCAAAUUGCAGCCACCCAUGGAGAAAUAUCAAUUGAAGUUGGAAGUGCUAAAAAAUGCAAACAUAAGGGCUAGAGGCACACCUCAUCUGAAAGAAGAGAAGCUAAUCAUGUUACUUCAUGAGUACAUGGAAAAAGUAGGAUGGGCUAUGAAAAAAUCAAAAGGAG